GACGAACGCUGGCGGCGUGCUUAACACAUGCAAGUCGAACGGAAAGGCCCUGCUUUUGCGGGGUGCUCGAGUGGCGAACGGGUGAGUAACACGUGAGUAACCUGCCCUUGACUUUGGGAUAACUUCAGGAAACUGGGGCUAAUACCGGAUAGGAGCUCCUGCUGCAUGGUGGGGGUUGGAAAGUUUCGGCGGUUGGGGAUGGACUCGCGGCUUAUCAGCUUGUUGGUGGGGUAGUGGCUUACCAAGGCUUUGACGGGUAGCCGGCCUGAGAGGGUGACCGGCCACAUUGGGACUGAGAUACGGCCCAGACUCCUACGGGAGGCAGCAGUGGGGAAUAUUGCACAAUGGGCGGAAGCCUGAUGCAGCAACGCCGCGUGCGGGAUGACGGCCUUCGGGUUGUAAACCGCUUUCGCCUGUGACGAAGCGUGAGUGACGGUAAUGGAUAAAGAAGCACCGGCUAACUACGUGCCAGCAGCCGCGGUGAUACGUAGGGUGCGAGCGUUGUCCGGAUUUAUUGGGCGUAAAGGGCUCGUAGGUGGUUGAUCGCGUCGGAAGUGUAAUCUUGGGGCUUAACCCUGAGCGUGCUUUCGAUACGGGUUGACUUGAGGAAGGUAGGGGAGAAUGGAAUUCCUGGUGGAGCGGUGGAAUGCGCAGAUAUCAGGAGGAACACCAGUGGCGAAGGCGGUUCUCUGGGCCUUUCCUGACGCUGAGGAGCGAAAGCGUGGGGAGCGAACAGGCUUAGAUACCCUGGUAGUCCACGCUGUAAACGGUGGGUACUAGGUGUGGGGUCCAUUCCACGGGUUCCGUGCCGUAGCUAACGCUUUAAGUACCCCGCCUGGGGAGUACGGCCGCAAGGCUAAAACUCAAAGGAAUUGACGGGGCCCCGCACAAGCGGCGGAGCAUGCGGAUUAAUUCGAUGCAACGCGUAGAACCUUACCUGGGUUUGACAUGGAUCGGGAGCGCUCAGAGAUGGGUGUGCCUCUUUUGGGGUCGGUUCACAGGUGGUGCAUGGCUGUCGUCAGCUCGUGUCGUGAGAUGUUGGGUUAAGUCCCGCAACGAGCGCAACCCUUGUUCACUGUUGCCAGCACGUUAUGGUGGGGACUCAGUGGAGACCGCCGGGGUCAACUCGGAGGAAGGUGGGGAUGACGUCAAGUCAUCAUGCCCCUUAUGUCCAGGGCUUCACGCAUGCUACAAUGGCUGGUACAGAGAGUGGCGAGCCUGUGAGGGUGAGCGAAUCUCGGAAAGCCGGUCUCAGUUCGGAUUGGGGUCUGCAACUCGACCUCAUGAAGUCGGAGUCGCUAGUAAUCGCAGAUCAGCAACGCUGCGGUGAAUACGUUCCCGGG
RNAcentral lists this ribosomal RNA (1343 nucleotides) under uncultured bacterium. RNAcentral's name for it is "16S ribosomal RNA". It matches the Rfam family "Bacterial small subunit ribosomal RNA", at positions 28 to 1378 of the family's 1533-position model. The record is from RNAcentral.